AUGCUUCUGCGGCAUGGUGCACCUCUCUGCGCGCCACGACCGCCAGCAGGAGGCCUCUGUGCUGGAGGUGGCCGCCACGGCUUCACGCUGGCGCUGCCCAAUGUCCUUCGCCAGACUUGCUUCUUGUGGGCUGCGAAGACGAGUGGAGGAGCAAUCAGUUACCAGAUGAAAAACUCAAGAUGGAGGCCUGUGUUUGCCUUGGAGACAGGUGGACCACCUAACGCAGAUGGCGAAGACUUUGAAGAGGACAGUGGUUUUCUUGGCAGGACAAGGCUUGGCCGACUCGCCCAAGCUGCUGGAAGGCAACUACUUGAAAAGCUUAACUCUGCCAGAAGCAAGUCUCCCACAAAGAUAUUCCUUGUGCUCUUUGGAUUCUACACCGCCAAUGCUCUGGCAACAAUCCUAGGGCAGACUGGUGACUGGGAUGUUCUUGUUGCUGGCGUCGUAGUGGCUGCCAUUGAAGGAAUCGGCAUGCUUAUGUACAGAAAACCGGUCACCAGGCCUCCUGGACGAUUUCAGUCAUUUAUUUCAAUGGUGAACUUCUGGAAAGCCGGUGUAUGUCUGGGCCUUUUCGUGGAUGCCUUCAAGCUGGGAAGCUGA
RNAcentral lists this ribosomal RNA (600 nucleotides) under Triticum aestivum (bread wheat). Its description in RNAcentral is "partial small subunit ribosomal RNA". The record is from RNAcentral. Lineage: Eukaryota; Viridiplantae; Streptophyta; Magnoliopsida; Poales; Poaceae.